RNAcentral lists this ribosomal RNA (497 nucleotides) under uncultured bacterium. Its description in RNAcentral is "partial 16S ribosomal RNA". It matches the Rfam family "Bacterial small subunit ribosomal RNA", at positions 28 to 507 of the family's 1533-position model. The record is from RNAcentral.
GAUGAACGCUGGCGGCGUGCCUAAUACACGCAAGUCGAGCGAACGGACGAGAAGCUUGCUUCUCUGAUGUUAGCGGCGGACGGGUGAGUAACACGUGGAUAACCUACCUAUAAGACUGGGAUAACUUCGGGAAACCGGAGCUAAUACCGGAUAAUAUUUUGAACCGCAUGGUUCAAAAGUAAAAGACGGUCUUGCUGUCACUUAUAGAUGGAUCCGCGCUGCAUUAGCUAGUUGGUAAGGUAACGGCUUACCAAGGCAACGAUGCAUAGCCGACCUGAGAGGGUGAUCGGCCACACUGGAACUGAGACACGGUCCAGACUCCUACGGGAGGCAGCAGUAGGGAAUCUUCCGCAAUGGGCGAAAGCCUGACGGAGCAACGCCGCGUGAGUGAUGAAGGUCUUCGGAUCGUAAAACUCUGUUAUUAGGGAAGAACAUAUGUGUAAGUAACUGUGCACAUCUUGACGGUACCUAAUCAGAAAGCCACGGCUAACUACGUG